CAAACUCAUGUCAAGGUUGUCACAGACAUGCCGGAGCUCAAAGUCAAUAGGCAUGUAAGUCCCAUCCAUCAUUCCUCAGGUUCAAACAUCUACCAGCCUCUCCCUGAUUCGGAUUAACCCUCAGUCCCCACGAGCUUUUGUGCUUGACUAACUCUCUGCUCCAUCUCAUCCUGUUAGGAGUGAGCCUGUUCAGCUGGGAUGCUUCAGACCAAGAGGACGGACUGCCAGAUCCAGUGGGCAGGACCAAAGAGCUGGCUUCAUGUUCCAGAUGAUGAAUGUACAAGAAGAUGGAGCCAUCAUCAUUCUGGAUCUUUGAGGACCACAUGGAAGACAGUUGCCCUGAAGAGUCUCUCAGGCCCCUUUUACUUUGUGUGGGAAACUGUAUCUCCAGCUUGGCUGCCACAUUCUCAACAAAGUGGACAGAGUCUAUGAUGGGACUGUCAAAGGAGUAAAGUCUUAGAUCAGAGGAGCUGCCAUGGAAAAGGCCCAGCUGACACAGGCUGACACAGGCCCCCUGGUAUCCCUGCCCAGGGGUGAUAGAUGGGAUCGGGUACAACCAUGGGGCUUUGCUUGAAGAUGCCUUCUCCAAAGAUAUGUGGACACCCCUCCAGGUGCCCUCAGUACCUGAUUCACAGCCUCCCUGCCCUAAGCCCUCUCAGUCUGGAAAAAAGCCCCAACACCACAUUCCUCACUUCCCUCUUCCAUCCCAAACUUUUUUGCUGACAUCCUGGUAAAGCAGUUCCAACUCAUCAAUGGGGCCACAGUGCAUACAAG
Molecule: long non-coding RNA, 774 nt
Organism: Bos taurus (domestic cattle)
Lineage: Eukaryota; Metazoa; Chordata; Mammalia; Artiodactyla; Bovidae
Source: Ensembl